AGCCACAGCCAUAUCAUCCUGCAGCCCAAGCCCAAGGUUACUCACUGAAGCUAAGCAGGGCUGAGCCUGGUUAGUACCUAGAUGGGAGACCACUAGGGAACACUAGGUUGCUGUUGGAA
RNAcentral lists this ribosomal RNA (119 nucleotides) under Danio rerio (zebrafish). Lineage: Eukaryota; Metazoa; Chordata; Actinopteri; Cypriniformes; Danionidae. The record is from RNAcentral.